Molecule: ribosomal RNA, 425 nt
Filed under: uncultured bacterium
Lineage: Bacteria
Description: bacterial SSU rRNA
Rfam family: Bacterial small subunit ribosomal RNA
Source: RNAcentral
GUGGGGAAUAUUGGACAAUGGGCGCAAGCCUGAUCCAGCCAUGCCGCGUGAGUGAAGAAGGCCUUCGGGUUGUAAAGCUCUUUUGGCGGGGACGAUGAUGACGGUACCCGCAGAAUAAGCCCCGGCUAACUUCGUGCCAGCAGCCGCGGUAAGACGAAGGGGGCUAGCGUUGUUCGGAAUUACUGGGCGUAAAGGGCGCGUAGGCGGUUUGUUAAGUCAGGCGUGAAAGCCCUGGGCUCAACCUGGGAUGUGCGCUUGAUACUGGCAGGCUUGAGUGCAGGAGAGGAUGGUUGAAUUCCCAGUGUAGAGGUGAAAUUCGUAGAUAUUGGGAAGAACACCGGUGGCGAAGGCGGCCAUCUGGACUGCGACUGACGCUGAGGCGCGAAAGCGUGGGGAGCAAACAGGAUUAGAAACCCUAGUAGUCC